RNAcentral lists this long non-coding RNA (1203 nucleotides) under Medicago truncatula (barrel medic). Its description in RNAcentral is "long non-coding RNA (MTRU_LNC003363)". Lineage: Eukaryota; Viridiplantae; Streptophyta; Magnoliopsida; Fabales; Fabaceae. The record is from RNAcentral.
AGUAAGUUUAUGCCUUUUUUUUUUUUUAGGCUUAAUGAUGUGUUUCGUCAUUGCAAUUAGACGUCAUUUAAAAUUUAAUACCCUCAACCGUUGGGUACACAAUAGCGGCGUACGGCUCAUCUGAAGAUGUGAUUGCAUUGCAUAAUCGUUGAGAGCACGUUUCUCAGCCAUAUCGUUAUUAUCUUCUUUGAGUCAUGCCUGAAAUCAAAACGGUUAAAGAUAGAAAAUAAAAUAUAAAAUAAAAUAAAAUAAAAUAAUAAAAUAAAAUAAGGAGAAAGGGAGGGAGAGAGAAAGAGAUAACACACUAGUAUUUAGACCCGUGCAUCGCACGAGAAGUUAGAUAUGUCAUUGAUUAAUAAAUAAGGUAAUCUUAAAUGAAACAAUAAUAGUUGUAAGUGAGCAUGAAUUAACGUGUCCAAAAUAAAACCAAUAAUAACUUGUAGUAAUUUAGAAUUCUCGUUAUCACAUCGGAUAGACAAAUAAAAAUAACCAAAUGCAACUACUAAUAUAAAUUUGUCUUGAGUAAUAAUAUACUAAUUUGUGGAUAAUAAAGAUGUAUCAAUUCUCAACAAUUGAAUCGGUAAAACUCAGUUUUGUGUCCAUAACUUUUGUUGAUUCCAAAUAAAAAAUUCAUCAUAAAGAUGAUGAUCAACCUGACAUGAAAUAAAAUAAAUUUGAAAUAAAGCGAUUACAAGGACUAAUUUUUAAAUGACGCCUAAUUGCAAGGACGAAACACAUCAUUAAGCCUUUUCUUUAAAACAUUCAUCCAUAUUAAUAAAAUGGUCACCCUUUGGUAUCUUAUUUGAUGAAAAAUGAACCGGAGUUACUAAGAGGCUAGAGGAAGAGUCUCUUGAGACGACCUAUCCGGUUUGCAACCCUUUUGCUGCUAAGAAAGAAAAGGAAAGUAAGUUCGUAAUGACCAAACCGCUUGUUGCUGAGAAGUGUCCUGUGACAUCUGACUCGCUUUUUGUGAUGUCUGACCCGCUUCUUGCUGAAAGUAAGUUUGUGCCUUAUUUUUUUUAAAACAUUCAUCCAUAUUAAAAAAUGGUCACCCUUUGGCAUCUUAUUUGAUGAAAAAUGAACAGGAGUUGCUAAGAGGGUAGAGGAAGAGGGGCCUCUUGAGACGACCAAUCUGGUUUGCAACCCUUUUCCUGCUGUGAAGACCAACAUUGCCGACAAUCAUACUUUGCCAUUUCCCAAGCU